RNAcentral lists this ribosomal RNA (440 nucleotides) under uncultured bacterium. RNAcentral describes it as "partial 16S ribosomal RNA". It matches the Rfam family "Bacterial small subunit ribosomal RNA", at positions 338 to 795 of the family's 1533-position model. The record is from RNAcentral.
CCUACGGGAGGCAGCAGUGGGGAAUAUUGCACAAUGGGGGAAACCCUGAUGCAGCGACGCCGCGUGAGUGAAGAAGUAAUUCGUUAUGUAAAGCUCUAUCAGCAGGGAAGAAAAUGACGGUACCUGAGGAAGAAGCCCCGGCUAACUACGUGCCAGCAGCCGCGGUAAUACGUAGGGGGCAAGCGUGAUCCGGAUUUACUGGGUGUAAAGGGAGCGGAGACGGCAGUGCAAGUCUGGAGUGAAAGCCGGGGGCUCAACCCCCGGACUGCUCUGGAAACUGUACGGCUGGAGUGCAGGAGAGGUAAGUGGAAUUCCUAGUGUAGCGGUGAAAUGCGUAGAUAUUAGGAGGAACACCGGUGGCGAAGGCGGCUUUCUGGACUGUAACUGACGUUGAGGCUCGAAAGCGUGGGGAGCAAACAGGAUUAGAUACCCGGGUAGUC